Molecule: ribosomal RNA, 253 nt
Filed under: uncultured bacterium
Lineage: Bacteria
Description: partial 16S ribosomal RNA
Rfam family: Bacterial small subunit ribosomal RNA
Source: RNAcentral
UACAGAGGGGGCAAGCGUUGUUCGGAAUUACUGGGCGUAAAGGGCGCGUAGGCGGCCUGCUAAGUCGGACGUGAAAUCCCUCGGCUUAACCGAGGAACUGCGUCCGAUACUGAAAGGCUUGAAUCCGGGAGAGGGAUGUGGAAUUCCAGGUGUAGCGGUGAAAUGCGUAGAUAUCUGGAGGAACACCGGUGGCGAAGGCGGCAUCCUGGACCGGCAUUGACGCUGAGGCGCGAAAGCUAGGGGAGCAAACGGG